CAGCAGCCGCGGGAAAACAGAGGGUGCAAGCGUUAAUCGGAAUUACUGGGCGUAAAGCGCGCGUAGGUGGUUUGUUAAGUUGGAUGUGAAAUCCCCGGGCUCAACCUGGGAACUGCAUCCAAAACUGGCAAGCUAGAGUAUGGUAGAGGGUGGUGGAAUUUCCUGUGUAGCGGUGAAAUGCGUAGAUAUAGGAAGGAACACCAGUGGCGAAGGCGACCACCUGGACUGAUACUGACACUGAGGUGCGAAAGCGUGGGGAGCAAACAGGAUUAGAUACCCCAGUAGUCCCUGUCUCUUAUAC
RNAcentral lists this ribosomal RNA (301 nucleotides) under uncultured bacterium. RNAcentral describes it as "partial 16S ribosomal RNA". It matches the Rfam family "Bacterial small subunit ribosomal RNA", at positions 509 to 807 of the family's 1533-position model. The record is from RNAcentral.